Molecule: ribosomal RNA, 301 nt
Filed under: uncultured bacterium
Lineage: Bacteria
Description: partial 16S ribosomal RNA
Rfam family: Bacterial small subunit ribosomal RNA
Source: RNAcentral
CAGCCGCCGCGGGAAUACGGAGGGAGCUAGCGUUGUUCGGAAUUACUGGGCGUAAAGCGCACGUAGGCGGUUAUUCAAGUCAGAGGUGAAAGCCCGGGGCUCAUCCCCGGAACUGCCUUUGAAACUAGAUGACUGGAAUCUUGGAGAGGUCAGUGGAAUUCCGAGUGUAGAGGUGAAAUUCGUAGAUAUUCGGAAGAACACCAGUGGCGAAGGCGACUGACUGGACAAGUAUUGACGCUGAGGUGCGAAAGCGUGGGGAGCAAACAGGAUUAGAGACCCCUGUAGUCCCUGUCUCUUAUAC